GUGCUAGGUUCUGCAGCACAUAGGAUAAAAUUGGAAUGACACAGAGAGGAUUAGCAAUGCCCCUGUGCAAAGAUGACACGCAAAUUCAUGAAGGGUUCCAUAUUAAA
Camelus dromedarius (Arabian camel) is the source of this 107-nucleotide small nuclear RNA. Lineage: Eukaryota; Metazoa; Chordata; Mammalia; Artiodactyla; Camelidae. The record is from Ensembl.